CCGUGAAGCUGGAUUCGCUAGUAAUCGCGCAUCAGCCAUGGCGCGGUGAAUACGUUCCCGGGCCUUGUACACACCGCCCGUCAAGCCAUGGAAGCCGGGGGUGCCUGAAGUGUGCAACCGCAAGGAGCGCCCUAAGAUAAAACCGGUGACUGGGGCUAAGUCGUAACAAGGUAGC
RNAcentral lists this ribosomal RNA (175 nucleotides) under uncultured bacterium. RNAcentral describes it as "partial 16S ribosomal RNA". It matches the Rfam family "Bacterial small subunit ribosomal RNA", at positions 1318 to 1500 of the family's 1533-position model. The record is from RNAcentral.